AUAUUUGUCCCGUUAUGUGAAGUGAGGUUAAAUAUGGUGUAAGUGGUGCUGCUAUUUGUGCUCGUGAUUUCCUUUGAGGAACUGAAGUCUCUUGCUGCUGCCUGUUGCAGUUAUCAAUCAUAUUUGAUGCAAUGCACCAUUUAUUUUGCAGGAGAUAUCGAUAAUGCUUGAAUCUGCAUCGUUGGAUAAUGUAUAAAGAGCAAUGACAGCCAAAACUCCCAAAAUAAUGCCGGAAGUCUAGACUCGGUUUCAAGUAUGUUUGGCUGUCGGUGCGUGAGCACUCAAGCUUCAUAAGUUGAGGACUCGUUAUCAUGAUGAAAAAGAGAUCAGCCAUUUGAAUGAGAGACAUACCCAUCAAGCAGGGGAUACCACGGAUUACGUCUGCUCUUGCUGUUUGCAGAGAGAUGUUAGCUCUUAAAUUAUGUUUUGUAUUGCUCUCCAGAUUAAUACCAUCGUUGGGUCAGUGAUACUUUUGCAAUAGAAGUACACUGUAUCCAUCGUUUUCAAAUUUCUUUUACUCUGUUGUAGUUACCAUCUAUCCAUAGCUAAUAAAGAAGUUGCUAGCCCUUGUCAAUUCAUGAUGAUUUGUUUUUUUCUCAUCUGCUAGUACACUGUAAAUAAACAUAUCGGUCUUCCUUCCAUUCAUGGCCAGAUGCUGAAUUGCAUCAAUAGCACCCUAUUGUUUGUAAGGAUUGGUGAGAAGUGAGAGACGGG
Molecule: long non-coding RNA, 714 nt
Filed under: Eucalyptus grandis
Lineage: Eukaryota; Viridiplantae; Streptophyta; Magnoliopsida; Myrtales; Myrtaceae
Description: long non-coding RNA (EGRA_LNC007395)
Source: RNAcentral